This 497-nucleotide ribosomal RNA is filed under the name uncultured bacterium. RNAcentral describes it as "partial 16S ribosomal RNA". It matches the Rfam family "Bacterial small subunit ribosomal RNA", at positions 28 to 507 of the family's 1533-position model. The record is from RNAcentral.
GAUGAACGCUGGCGGCGUGCCUAAUACAUGCAAGUCGAGCGAACAGACGAGGAGCUUGCUCCUCUGACGUUAGCGGCGGACGGGUGAGUAACACGUGGAUAACCUACCUAUAAGACUGGGAUAACUUCGGGAAACCGGAGCUAAUACCGGAUAAUAUAUUGAACCGCAUGGUUCAAUAGUGAAAGACGGUUUUGCUGUCACUUAUAGAUGGAUCCGCGCCGCAUUAGCUAGUUGGUAAGGUAACGGCUUACCAAGGCAACGAUGCGUAGCCGACCUGAGAGGGUGAAUCGCCCCCACGGAACCUGGGCCCGGGCCCGACCCCCACGGGAGGCAGCAGGUGGGAAAUCUCCCGAAUGGGGCGAAAGCUUGCGGGGGCACCGCCGGGGGGUGAAUAAGGGUUUCGGGUUCGAAAACUUCUGUAAUUGGGAAAAACAAAUGUGGUAGGUAACAUUCCACGUUUGAAGGUUCCCUAACAGAAAGCCACCGCUAACUUCCUG